GGAACAAGGCCAGCCUGUUGGUUGGUUGAGGGUACUUGCAGAAGAAGCGCCGGCUAACUACGUGCCAGCAGCCGCGGUAAUACGUAGGGCGCAAGCGUUAUCCGGAAUUAUUGGGCGUAAAGAGCUCGUAGGCGGUUUGUCGCGUCUGCCGUGAAAGUCCGGGGCUCAACUCCGGAUCUGCGGUGGGUACGGGCAGACUAGAGUGAUGUAGGGGAGACUGGAAUUCCUGGUGUAGCGGUGAAAUGCGCAGAUAUCAGGAGGAACACCGAUGGCGAAGGCAGGUCUCUGGGCAUUAACUGACGCUGAGGAGCGAAAGCAUGGGGAGCGAACAGGAUUAGAUACCCUGGUAGUCCAUGCCGUAAACGUUGGGCACUAGGUGUGGGGGACAUUCCACGUUUUCCGCGCCGUAGCUAACGCAUUAAGUGCCCCGCCUGGGGAGUACGGCCGCAAGGCUAAAACUCAAAGGAAUUGACGGGGGCCCGCACAAGCGGCGGAGCAUGCGGAUUAAUUCGAUGCAACGCGAAGAACCUUACCAAGGCUUGACAUGAACCGGAAAGACCUGGAAACAGGUGCCCCGCUUGCGGUCGGUUUACAGGU
This 597-nucleotide ribosomal RNA is filed under the name Arthrobacter psychrochitiniphilus. Its description in RNAcentral is "bacterial SSU rRNA". It matches the Rfam family "Bacterial small subunit ribosomal RNA", at positions 443 to 1039 of the family's 1533-position model. The record is from RNAcentral. Lineage: Bacteria; Bacillati; Actinomycetota; Actinomycetes; Micrococcales; Micrococcaceae.